CCUUCAUCCAAAGCUAGAGAUCUCUCCCCGCUUGAUUGGACAUCCUUUAGUUCUUUCCAUGUGUGGAACUGAAUGUUUAUCUCCUACUGAAAUGUUAUGUACAGAAGGUUUGCACUUUGCUGACAGACACAUCCAAGCAUCAAUUGUUAAUGAUAUCUGCUCCAUGUGACUAUGAGCCCUGAACUUCAUGAAAGCUGAUAUAAAAUAAUCCAACUGAAGCAAAUGCUGUUUCUUCAGCUGGUCAAUGAACCAGAGGUUUCUAAAUUGCCUCCUUACCUUUGACUAACAUUUUAGCCUUCCAAGGCCCUGAUAAUAAUGUGCCAAUGUCAGCAGGAAGUAAUUACAGAAGCCAAAACACUGUUUUCCAAGCGUGCCUCUGCCAAGGUGGAUGCAACACUGGAAAAGGCCAUGGGAAAGGAGAAAGGAUCACACAGAAGAGUGCAAACAAAAGGGAAGAGGAAAAUAAAGGCAACAGGCUAAAGUGGCUGACCAACAACUACAGAUCUGCCAGUGGAAAGUGGAGACACUGAAAAACAGAGUCCAGUCUCUCAAGUAAAAGAGAAAAGCCAAGUCUGACUAACCAUCCAUCAUGUCUGUCAUUAACCCUGCCUUGCUUCUUGUACAAUCCAGAGGAAUAUUUUAACCAACUAUUUGAAAAUGCAAGGUGAAUGCACUCAAGGACAUGGAAAUACAGGUAGAUGUGACAAAUCUGAUGUAGGUGCUGGGAAUCAAACUUGGGUAACCAAGAGGACCAGUACUACUGAGCCAACUCUUCAGGUCCCAAAUAUGUCAAUAUAAUUUUGAUGAUGAAGAUGUCCUACUGCUCUUUCUGUCUGCUGUGACUUGAAGGUGAAGAAAGUCCCCUCUAGA
Molecule: long non-coding RNA, 870 nt
Organism: Peromyscus eremicus (cactus mouse)
Lineage: Eukaryota; Metazoa; Chordata; Mammalia; Rodentia; Cricetidae
Exons: 3
Source: RefSeq, a predicted model, not a curated record